AGGACGAACGCUGGCGGCGUGCUUAACACAUGCAAGUCGAGCGGAAAGGCCCUUCGGGGUACUCGAGCGGCGAACGGGUGAGUAACACGUGAGCAACCUGCCCUUAGCUUCGGGAUAGCUCCGGGAAACCGGAAUUAAUACCGAAUAUGACUUUGGCUGACAUCAGCAGAAGUGGAAAGUUUUUCGGCUAGGGAUGGACUCGCGGCCUAUCAGCUAGUUGGUGAGGUAACGGCCCACCAAGGCGACGACGGGUAGCCGGCCUGAGAGGGCGACCGGCCACACUGGGAUUGAGAACGGCCCAGACUCCUACGGGGGGCAGCAGUGAGGAAUUUCGUCAAUGGGGGCAACCCUGAACGAGCAACGCCGCGUGCAGGAAGAAGGUUUUCGGAUCGGUAAACUGCUUUUCUCGGGGAAGAGAACGGACGGUACCCGAGGAAUCGAGCCCCGGCUAACUACGUGCCAGCAGCCGC
RNAcentral lists this ribosomal RNA (470 nucleotides) under uncultured bacterium. RNAcentral describes it as "SSU rRNA". It matches the Rfam family "Bacterial small subunit ribosomal RNA", at positions 26 to 518 of the family's 1533-position model. The record is from RNAcentral.